RNAcentral lists this transfer-messenger RNA (351 nucleotides) under bacterium. RNAcentral's name for it is "E44-bin18 sp004376575 Standard tmRNA". It matches the Rfam family "transfer-messenger RNA". From Rfam's summary of the family: Bacterial tmRNA, also known as 10Sa RNA or SsrA, is named for its dual tRNA and mRNA-like properties. Its role is to liberate the mRNA from a stalled ribosome. To accomplish this part of the tmRNA is used as a reading frame that ends in a translation stop signal. RNAcentral also lists the same sequence under 2 other names. The record is from RNAcentral.
GGGGGCGAUCCGGUCUCGACGGGGGCAAGGAGACUGAGACUGCGUGCCGAGGUUCCGUCGUCUCGUAAAAUGGCGGAAAAACAAUAGUUGCCAAUAGCAACUACGCUCUGGCCGCUUAAUGCGGUCACGUCCUCCUCUGGCUCUUCCUGCGAGGCCAUUGGAAGGGCGACGUCAAUCGUAGGAUAGCCAUCCUUCUCCGCCCGGAGGGGGUGGUGAAAGCUGUCAGGGCUGGUUCUAUAGAUAUCCCGCCUCAUGGAGAUCUGUAGAACGAGACUAGUUAUGAGGAUACGCGCGUAGUGGUCUCUUUCAAUCUGCUUUUGGACGCGGGUUCGAUUCCCGCCGCCUCCACCA